UAGAGUUUGAUCCUGGCUCAGGAUGAACGCUGGCGGCGUGUCUAAGGCAUGCAAGUCGUGCGACGGCUCGUAGCAAUACGAGUACGGAGCGGCAAACGGGUGCGUAACACAUUGGUAACCUGCCCCGCAUUGGAGGAUAACUCACCGAAAGGUGAACUAAUACCCCGUACAAUCAGUUGCCACAUGGCGAUUGAUGAGAGCCCAAAAGGCGAUGCGGGAGGGGCCUAUGGCCCAUCAGCUUGUUGGUGAGGUAAUGGCUCACCAAGGCUACGACGGGUAGGGGGCGUGAGAGCGCGACCCCCCUCACUGGGACUGAGACACUGCCCAGACUCCUACGGGAGGCUGCAGUCGAGAAUAUUCCUCAAUGGACGAAAGUCUGAAGGAGCGACGCCGCGUGCAGGAAGAAGGCCUUCGGGUUGUAAACUGCUUUUUUCAGGGACGAACACUGACGGUACCUGGAGAAUAAGAGGUUGCUAACUCUGUGCCAGCAGCAGCGGUAAUACAGAGACCUCAAGCGUUAUCCGGAUUUACUGGGCGUAAAGCGUCCGCAGACGGCUAGGUACGUCUUGCGUCAAAUGUCGAAGCUCAACUUCGGCACUGCGUGGGAUACGGCCAAGCUCGAGGUUGGGAGAGGUAAGCGGAAUUGCCGGUGUAGUAGUAAAAUGCGUUAAUAUCGGCAAGAACACCAAUUGCGAAGGCAGCUUACUGGAACAAACCUGACGUUAAUGGACGAAAGCGUGGGGAGCGAAAGGGAUUAGAUACCCCUGUAGUCCACGCCCUAAACGAUGAAUGCUAGGCAUUGGAAGUAUCGACCCUUUCAGUGCCGGACACCGAAGCUAACGCCUUAAGCAUUCCGCCUGGGGAGUACGGCCGCAAGGCUAAAACUCAAAGGAAUUGACGG
RNAcentral lists this ribosomal RNA (901 nucleotides) under uncultured bacterium. RNAcentral's name for it is "bacterial SSU rRNA". It matches the Rfam family "Bacterial small subunit ribosomal RNA", at positions 1 to 916 of the family's 1533-position model. The record is from RNAcentral.